Molecule: ribosomal RNA, 468 nt
Filed under: uncultured bacterium
Lineage: Bacteria
Description: partial 16S ribosomal RNA
Rfam family: Bacterial small subunit ribosomal RNA
Source: RNAcentral
GACGAACGCUGGCGGCGUGCUUAACACAUGCAAGUCGAACGGAAAGACCCUGCUUUUGUGGGGUGCUCGAGUGGCGAACGGGUGAGUAACACGUGAGUAACCUGCCCUUGACUUUGGGAUAACUUCAGGAAACUGGGGCUAAUACCGGAUAGGAGCUCCUGCUGCAUGGUGGGGGUUGGAAAGUUUCGGCGGUUGGGGAUGGACUCGCGGCUUAUCAGCUUGUUGGUGGGGUAGUGGCUUACCAAGGCUUUGACGGGUCGCCGGCCUGAGAGGGUGACCGGCCACAUUGGGACUGAGAUACGGCCCAGACUCCUACGGGAGGCAGCAGUGGGGAAUAUUGCACAAUGGGCGGAAGCCUGAUGCAGCAACGCCGCGUGCGGGAUGACGGCCUUCGGGUUGUAAACCGCUUUCGCCUGUGACGAAGCGUGAGUGACGGUAAUGGGUAAAGAAGCACCGGCUAACUACGUG